AAUGAACGCUGGCGGCGUGCUUAACACAUGCAAGUCGAACGAGGCUGAGGGGGCAACUCCUCAGUUUAGUGGCGGACGGGUGAGUAACACGUGGGUAACCUGCCCGGAAGUGGGGGAUACCUCGGGGAAACUCGAGCUAAUACCGCAUAACAUCUUUGGGACGAAAGUUCUGACGAUCAAAGCGGGGUCGCAAGAUCUCGCGCUACCGGAUGGGCCCGCGCCCGAUUAGCUAGUUGGUGAGGUAACGGCUCACCAAGGCUUCGAUCGGUAACCGGCCUGAGAGGGCGAUCGGUCACACCGGAACUGAGACACGGUCCGGACUCCUACGGGAGGCAGCAGUGGGGAAUCUUGCGCAAUGGGCGAAAGCCUGACGCAGCAACGCCGCGUGUGUGAUGAAGGUCUUCGGAUUGUAAAGCACUUUCGACCGGGACGAACACCUGCUGGCCAAUAUCCAGCAGCCUGACGGUACCGGGAGAAGAAGCACCGGCUAACUCUGU
This 497-nucleotide ribosomal RNA is filed under the name uncultured bacterium. Its description in RNAcentral is "bacterial SSU rRNA". It matches the Rfam family "Bacterial small subunit ribosomal RNA", at positions 29 to 506 of the family's 1533-position model. The record is from RNAcentral.